This 470-nucleotide ribosomal RNA is filed under the name uncultured bacterium. RNAcentral's name for it is "partial 16S ribosomal RNA". It matches the Rfam family "Bacterial small subunit ribosomal RNA", at positions 28 to 507 of the family's 1533-position model. The record is from RNAcentral.
GACGAACGCUGGCGGCGUGCUCAACACAUGCAAGUCGAACGGUGAACGAGGGAGCUUGCUCCCUCCGGAUCAGUGGCGAACGGGUGAGUAACACGUGAGCAAUCUGCCCCGAACUCUGGGAUAAGCGUUGGAAACGACGUCUAAUACCGGAUACGACGCGGGAGGGCAUCCUCUCCGCGUGGAAAGAACUUCGGUUCGGGAUGAGCUCGCGGCCUAUCAGCUUGUUGGUGAGGUAACGGCUCACCAAGGCGACGACGGGUAGCCGGCCUGAGAGGGUGACCGGCCACACUGGGACUGAGACACGGCCCAGACUCCUACGGGAGGCAGCAGUGGGGAAUAUUGCACAAUGGGCGCAAGCCUGAUGCAGCAACGCCGCGUGAGGGACGACGGCCUUCGGGUUGUAAACCUCUUUUAGCAGGGAAGAAGCGAAAGUGACGGUACCUGCAGAAAAAGCACCGGCUAACUACGUG